This 274-nucleotide ribosomal RNA is filed under the name uncultured bacterium. RNAcentral describes it as "partial 16S ribosomal RNA". It matches the Rfam family "Bacterial small subunit ribosomal RNA", at positions 523 to 796 of the family's 1533-position model. The record is from RNAcentral.
AUACGGAGGGUGCGAGCGUUAAUCGGAAUUACUGGGCGUAAAGGGUACGUAGGCGGUUAUUUAAGUUGGAUGUGAAAUCCCCGGGCUCAACCUGGGAACUGCAUCCAAAACUGGGUGACUAGAGUGUAUAAGAGGUUAGCGGAAUUCCAGGUGUAGCAGUGAAAUGCGUAGAUAUCUGGAGGAACAUCAGUGGCGAAGGCGGCUAACUGGUAUAACACUGACGCUGAGGUACGAAAGCGUGGGGAGCGAACGGGAUUAGAAACCCUAGUAGUCC